GCUCUAAAUAUAGCGACGCACUUGAGUUACAAGGCAUGGUGCUACACAAAUGACACUCCUCUCCAGAGACAUACACUGCAAUGCACUGUAUUUUCACACUUAGCUUCCAAGAUGAUACAGGUAGUAAGUCACAUUAGUGCUGACUCGGAAAGAGCAUUCCUGCUCAUCAAUCAUCAGCAACAGGAGGAGUUCAUUAAAGAAAUGGGUAAACCACAACAUUUGAUUGCCCUGAUGAAGAGCCUCUACUCAGGAUUAAAUGCCACUGUCAAGAAACAGUAUGAAGAAAAAGAAUGGUUUCCAAUUGGCAAGCGGGUCAAGCAAGGCUUCAUUUAAUCACCCUCUCUGUUUAAGUUGUAUGCUGAAUGUGUAUGUAAAGAUGGAUUAGACUUGGAGGAAGAAGACAUAAAAAUUGGAGGAAGAAACAUCAGCAAUUUCAAAUAUGCACAUGACACCAUUCUACUAGCAGAAAAUGGAAAAACCCUAGAACAAUUACUGAAGAAAGUCAAGGAAGAAACUGCAAAGGCGGGUUUACAGAUAAAAGAAAAUGAAAAUAAUUACCACUAAUGAUUUACAUAACUUUAAAGCACACAAUGAAGACAGUGAAAUACUAAAAGAUUUUCUAUGUCUUGGCUCAGUCAUUAAUCAAAACAGAAACUACAGUCAAUACAUAAGAAGAAUUGGAUUUGGAGAAGCAGUUAUGAAGGAACUGGAAAAAUCUUUAUUCACACUGUAUAUAUCCGAUUUGCAUUUAUUCCACAUCUGCCUUAUUAGCACAACAAACAAUACACCACACACUGUGGUGACUUUUCUGGGGGAACCCAUCUUGAUGUGAACUUUUUUUCAGAAAACUCCUCUUAUUUGUAAUAUGACAAACAUAUGGCAGUGGUUAUUUGGGUUUUUUGUUUGUUUUUGUUUUAAUUGUGUUAUGCAUGAUAAUAUAUGUAUUUCUGUCAAAUAUGUCUUUAGCCAUCCUGUUAUGUGAAGGUGCACUAAUACAGAUAUUCUAGUAAAAUGGUCUGUGAAUGUUCAUAUACUCAUUCUUUUUUUAAAAAAUUCUGCUGCUUCUUCACUCAUGUGCUUUUAACUUGUUUCUGAUUUAUAGUAUCCUUAAGGCAAAUCUGUCCCAGUGUUUCCUUGGCAAGUUUUGUUCGAAGAAAGUUUGCUACAGCCUUCCCUUGAGGCUAAGAGAUACCACUUGUCCAAGGUCACCCAGUGGGUUUCUACAGCUGAAUGAGGAUUCAAACUCUGGUCUUCAGAACCUAGUUCAUCACACUGACCAUGACAGCAGGAUGGCUCUUCCUCAAGUAGUGCAGUGACAGCAUUUAGAGCUUCCUAUGUUCCACUAGAGUUCCUUCAUGCACAUGCAUGGUAUAAUAAUAAUAUUUGCAGCCGGAGGUGUGGGCUAAGGCUUUUGGGUUGAAAGAUUCAAAAGAAGAAGAAAUUUAACAGUUCCUUUGUGCUUUCAGGGAUCGACACAACAUAAAAAUAGAUGAAAACAUUAAUUUCACAAAAACACACACACACAAACCCUGACAUGACAAUUGGCAAUUCCUUUAAAGCCUGGUUUGUCCACUGAAGUUAUUCCAAACAACAGUAGCUCUGUCAAUCGAUUGUGCCUUUCUAUGCAUAGUGUGAACUUUAACCCCAACCUGCCGCUGCAAAUACUGAAACUUGAUUAUGCCCCAAGGAAAUUUUAAAUUCAAUACAGUAAAAUGAAAAAUGACUAUAAGUGCUCCUGCAAAUACCAUAUGUCCACUUGCCUUAAGCAAGUCAUUUUCUUUGCAGGCAAGUACAAUAUAAUUAGUUCUUUUAUUAUCAUCCAUCAGCCUUGGAAACAAGACACAAGUGGAUUUUGUGCUUGGGAGAUUAGUGUUGUUUUUAUGGCAAUUUCAUAAAAUAACCAUAAUGGGUGAAAUCCAGUGGUGGUCUACUGACAGAAUUGCAUCCACUAGUGUUUCCCCCUUUUUCCCAACGGAAAUUUUACAGAUCUGAUACAAAUUAGGGAUUUUUCAGAAUACAUUUUUGGAGAGAGGAUAUGGAAACUGUUACUUGGAUAUGCUGGAACUAGUGCAGUAUGGCAUUGCACCAUGACUUUGGAGACAAGUGAACAAAGCCUUGCUCAGAACAAAUCUUCUCAAGAAAACCUUGUGAUAGUUUCACCUUAAGGUCAUCGUACAUCAGAUAUGACUUGAAGACAUGUAAUAAAAACAAUAAAUAUGCUUAAGGCAUCUUAUGCAAAUGUGGAUGCAGUUCAAAAUGGAUAUAAUUAUAUUACUGUUGAAAUCAUACAUAUAAAAUUUAAUAAUGUUA
Molecule: long non-coding RNA, 2310 nt
Organism: Anolis carolinensis (green anole)
Lineage: Eukaryota; Metazoa; Chordata; Lepidosauria; Squamata; Anolidae
Exons: 2
Source: RefSeq, a predicted model, not a curated record